Molecule: long non-coding RNA, 278 nt
Filed under: Phaseolus vulgaris (common bean)
Lineage: Eukaryota; Viridiplantae; Streptophyta; Magnoliopsida; Fabales; Fabaceae
Description: long non-coding RNA (PVUL_LNC002771)
Source: RNAcentral
AUUCCUUUUGUAUCCCUCUCCCUGAGAUCCAGAUGGACUAUAUACAUAGAUAUUUGAAAUUAAGGUCAACUGCUCUAUACAUUAAUGUUUAACUAUACUUUUGAGAUGAUAUACUAAUAGAUUUCAUUUUAAUAUUUCCUAACUUUAGCAAAAAAAAAUUGAUUACAAAACAAAAGCAAUGACUAGAGCAAAAAGAUUUACUUGGACGGAAAGAACAGCCGCAAUGGUGAUUAUCUCCUCUGAACACCCAAGUUGACUGGAAGCUAUUAUCAUUUUUG